RNAcentral lists this ribosomal RNA (253 nucleotides) under uncultured bacterium. RNAcentral's name for it is "partial 16S ribosomal RNA". It matches the Rfam family "Bacterial small subunit ribosomal RNA", at positions 524 to 776 of the family's 1533-position model. The record is from RNAcentral.
UACGAAGGGGGCUAACGUUGUUCGGAAUUACUGGGAGUAAAGCGCACGUAGGCGGAUUAGUAAGUCAGGGGUGAAAUCCCGGGGCUCAACCUCGGAACUGCCUUUGAUACUGCUGAUCUCGAGUCCGGAAGAGGUGAGUGGAAUUCCUAGUGUAGAGGUGAAAUUCGUAGAUAUUAGGAAGAACACAAGUGGCGAAGGCGGCUCACUGGUCCGGUACUGACGCUGAGGUGCGAAAGCGUGGGGAGCAAACAGG